This 397-nucleotide ribosomal RNA is filed under the name uncultured bacterium. RNAcentral's name for it is "partial 16S ribosomal RNA". It matches the Rfam family "Bacterial small subunit ribosomal RNA", at positions 523 to 918 of the family's 1533-position model. The record is from RNAcentral.
AUACGUAGGGGGCGAGCGUUGUCCGGAAUGAUUGGGCGUAAAGGGCGCGUAGGCGGCCCGGUAAGUCUGGAGUGAAAGUCCUGUUUUUAAGAUGGGAAUUGCUUUGGAUACUGUCGGGCUUGAGUGCAGGAGAGGUAAGUGGAAUUCCCAGUGUAGCGGUGAAAUGCGGAGAGAUUGGGAGGAACACCAGUGGCGAAGGCGACUUACUGGACUGUAACUGACGCUGAGGCGCGAAAGUGUGGGGAGCAAACAGGAUUAGAUACCCUGGUAGUCCACACUGUAAACGAUGAAUGCUAGGUGUAGGGGGUAUCGACCCCUUCUGUGCCGCAGUCAACACAAUAAGCAUUCCGCCUGGGGAGUACGGCCGCAAGGUUGAAACUCAAAUGAAUUGGCGGGG